AUUUCCUGAUUCCUGUCGGGCGGCAGGGCGGGAUUGGGGUGGGGGAGGGCGGCUGUGGGAGCCGCAGGCCGGCCCGGGCUGGACGGACCCCUCCAGGUGGACCGGAAACAGGCCUGCCCUGCAAUUCCAGCCCCUGCCACCCACUGCCCACCCUAUGUCCAUCUGUCCUUCCCCCAAGAGCCUGUCACCAGCCCCUGCAUGCUGCCCCCAGACUCCACACCAGGCUGCAUGACAACAGUGGGCUGCCUGGGCGGAGUGGGGGCGAAGGCUUUCCCUGAGCUUCUUCAGAGCAGCUGCGAACUGCAGGUCCCUGGAGGGUUUUCCCAGAACAGCACGUCUGCUCUUGAGCCCCCUCCUCCGGCUCGACUCGACGGGCCAAGCGCUCCCCUCCCGCCACCGCGAGUUCCUGAGAACCCAGAUGUUCCCCGAGCCCGUCUGCCCCCACACCCAGCGCCUCUGUCUGCGGAUGUGAAGCAAACGCGGGGGACAUGGAGACCAAAUGUGGGCUCGGGCUCGGCAGGGCGGGUCCGCCCGGACCGACGUCCAAGCCCCCCCCGCCGCCCCCACACCCCUGCCACCGCCCCUCCUGCAGCUCCCAGCCCUGAGCCUGUGUGUGGACGUCUCUGGACAAACGAGGACACGGAGCCUCUGAAGCCCAUACGCCCGUCCUGAGGUCACACGGCCAGCAGGGGACAGCGCUGGUCCCACGGCCCCUGCUCUCCGGGUUCCGGGUCUCGGGGACACUGGGCGAUGCCAGCAGCGUCCCAGAACUGUGGUUAGGACAGAGGGUUGAGUGGCCCCUGCAGACCCUGUUCCUGGGAAGGGUUAGGGAAGGACAUGGGGGGGGGGCUGCAGAACAGUGUGUGGUCACCCGGGACUCGGGUGACGCCGCGCAUGGCCAGCGGCGGGGAGCACGCCCUCUUUUCUUGGGGUCCAGAGGUCUGGAGGGCUGUCCGUGGUGGGGGUGGGGGGCUGCUGGUCAGGAGGGGCCCUGGCCUCCCCUCCCUCCCCCUGCCAACAGGCCUUGUUCAGCAGCCGUGUGAAGGGGGUGGACAGGCCUGCCGCCAAGUCCCUGGUCACAUGCCUGCCAGCGUGCAGUGACCUUGCAUCAUUUUGGAGACCAGCCCCGGGGCCUGCAGCUCAGCACGAGGGUCUCAUCAGGCCCCAGUGACCCUGCCCUCGAGGGAGCUGGAGAGGGAGGCGCCGCAGUUACUGCCCAGCCCCCACCUGCUGAGGAGGGCAGCCCUGUGCCAUGGGAGUCCUGGCCCCACAUCACCACCUGCCAGGCAAGAGGGACCCCCACCCUCAGGUGGGGGUGAGGGAGCCGGGGGGGGGUAGGUCUAGGGGGUGCUGCCCCCAGCCCAGGGUCCUGUCCAUGGCCUCGUUGCCCACGCCCAGCAGACGGGCCAGGACAGGGCCCUGCCUUGGAGACCAGCCCCCCAAGGCCAGCAGAGCAGGAAGCGACUAUUGUUUACAGGAUGCUCUGGCGUCCUGGGGGCCCCACUUGGUGGGCUCUGGGCCCUGCUGGGGGGUGGCCCUUGGCUGUCACUGCCUGGGAAGGCCUCACCCCAGGACCCCGCUGGGCCUCCCGUGGGCCCCCAGUUGCAUCUUAGUCUUCCGUCUCUGAGGACGGCUGCCAAGCUUCGCCCACAGCCUCAGACAGCCGGGAAAG
This 1672-nucleotide long non-coding RNA is filed under the name Sus scrofa (pig). RNAcentral's name for it is "lncRNA (ENSSSCG00070006749.1)". Lineage: Eukaryota; Metazoa; Chordata; Mammalia; Artiodactyla; Suidae. The record is from RNAcentral.